GAUGAACGCUGGCGGCGUGCUUAACACAUGCAAGUCGAACGGAAAGGCCCUGCUUUUGUGGGGUGCUCGAGUGGCGAACGGGUGAGUAACACGUGAGUAACCUGCCCUUGACUUUGGGAUAACUUCAGGAAACUGGGGCUAAUACCGGAUAGGAGCUCCUGCUGCAUGGUGGGGGUUGGAAAGUUUCGGCGGUUGGGGAUGGACUCGCGGCUUAUCAGCUUGUUGGUGGGGUAGUGGCUUACCAAGGCUUUGACGGGUAGCCGGCCUGAGAGGGUGACCGACCACAUUGGGACUGAGAUACGGCCCAGACUCCUACGGGAGGCAGCAGUGGGGAAUAUUGCACAAUGGGCGGAAGCCUGAUGCAGCAACGCCGCGUGCGGGAUGACGGCCUUCGGGUUGUAAACCGCUUUCGCCUGUGACGAAGCGUGAGUGACGGUAAUGGGUAAAGAAGCACCGGCUAACUACGUG
This 468-nucleotide ribosomal RNA is filed under the name uncultured bacterium. RNAcentral describes it as "partial 16S ribosomal RNA". It matches the Rfam family "Bacterial small subunit ribosomal RNA", at positions 28 to 507 of the family's 1533-position model. The record is from RNAcentral.